UACGUAGGGUCCGAGCGUUGUCCGGAAUCAUUGGGCGUAAAGCGCGUGUAGGCGGCUCGAUAAGUCCGCUCUGAAAGUCCGGGGCUCAACCCCGGGAGGCGGGUGGAUACUGUCGAGCUCGAGUCCGGAAGAGGCAAGUGGAAUUCCCGGUGUAGCGGUGAAAUGCGCAGAUAUCGGGAGGAACAUCAGUGGCGAAGGCGGCUGCCUGGCCCAAUACUGACACUCAGGUGCGACAGCGUGGGGAGCAAACAGG
This 253-nucleotide ribosomal RNA is filed under the name uncultured bacterium. Its description in RNAcentral is "partial 16S ribosomal RNA". It matches the Rfam family "Bacterial small subunit ribosomal RNA", at positions 524 to 776 of the family's 1533-position model. The record is from RNAcentral.